GAAUUAAAUCGUCUCUCAACCAAUGAAUAAUCUAUGAUACGAGAGUUUUUAUAGGAGGGAUCUAAGUCAAAAGGUACUUCAAAAGGUUGAGAUUGUUUUGCGGAAAAUGCAUAGUACAGUAGCUGAUAAUAAGUCAAUUAUCUUUGUUCACUACUUUACUUCUAUCAGCAAUUGUAAGCAAGAAACAAAGAGAAAAUCAAUUUCACUUGCCUCAAGCUCAAAGUGGUUGUGGUUAUUAGUACUCUGCCAAUGGCCACUGACAGUGUUAUGCUGCAGGUACUCAGCCGAAUCCAGUUGAUGAUCAUCAUCUUGUAUCGAUCUGCAGUCUGUUUUUUGGUGCUGACACCUUGGAGACGCUGAUGGAAUAACUUUUACUGCAAAAAGAAGUAACUGAGAAUCCGGUUUGCGUGAAGUUGUAACUGAUCAACGUUUCUCACUUUUACAUAGCAGGUCAGUUAAAAACCUUCACUUGGGAUUCUCUUAGAAGAAAAUCCUUGUUUCCAUUAAAUACAUAGAUUUAUACACUGAAGAUGUUAUGGUUUUAUGUUGUUUCUGGUGAUAUUUAGUUCUUCUACGCGAAGGAAAUAACAACACAGCAAAAGAAAACAGCAGA
RNAcentral lists this long non-coding RNA (613 nucleotides) under Arabidopsis thaliana (thale cress). Its description in RNAcentral is "long non-coding RNA (ATHA_LNC000715)". The record is from RNAcentral. Lineage: Eukaryota; Viridiplantae; Streptophyta; Magnoliopsida; Brassicales; Brassicaceae.